CAGCCGCCACGGUAAUACGGAAGGUCCGGGCGUUAUCCGGAUUUAUUGGGUUUAAAGGGAGCGUAGGCCGUGGAUUAAGCGUGUUGUGAAAUGCAGGUGCUCAACGUCAGCACUGCAGCGCGAACUGGUCCACUAGAGUGUGCGCAACGCAGGCGGAAUUCGUCGUGUAGCGGUGAAAUGCUUAGAUAUGACGAAGAACUCCGAUUGCGAAGGCAGCUUGCGGGAGCACAACUGACGCUGAAGCUCGAAAGUGCGGGUAUCGAACAGGAUUAGAUACCCGAGUAGUCCCUGUCUCUUAUAC
This 301-nucleotide ribosomal RNA is filed under the name uncultured bacterium. RNAcentral's name for it is "partial 16S ribosomal RNA". It matches the Rfam family "Bacterial small subunit ribosomal RNA", at positions 509 to 807 of the family's 1533-position model. The record is from RNAcentral.